Molecule: long non-coding RNA, 2426 nt
Organism: Equus caballus (horse)
Lineage: Eukaryota; Metazoa; Chordata; Mammalia; Perissodactyla; Equidae
Source: Ensembl
GAGGAAAUGCCAGGAAGUUUCGAGAGGGGAUGCACAAGGCAAGCUGACUCGGCCUCACAGCGGAGGUCACCGUGGUCAGGCCUCCAUGGGCCGGAAAGCAGCGACAAGCGAGGUGAUACCCCAAGGCAGGGAGCCCCCAGCCCGGAUUGGCCAGUCUGUGUCCCCGGUCCUGCUCCUCAGAGAGAGGCAUCUCGCCAUCCUUGUGACCUGGCCCUGGCAUCUCGCUGCUCAUCCUGCAGAGUGGAGCUCUUCACAGGCUGGGCUGGAAGUUGUGUGAACUGGAUGGAGAGAUUUUCCACGUGCUUCUCCAAGUGUGGAGACAGUGGUCCUGCCUGCAGUGCUGAGGGGCAGGUCCCCAGAGCUCAGCUCAGCCGUCUAGGGCGGCGGCUCCUUUUGCUUGAGACCACGUGGGCGCCAGGCAGACGCCACCCAGCUCCUGCGGGAAGUCACACGUGAGAGCUGCCACACCACAGACACGCCCUCAGCUCUCAUCAGACGAAAGUGGCCGCCUUGGCCUGAGAAGCACCUCUGUCUCAAGCUGCCAGCCAAGGGCUAAAGGACGCUCAGUCCGUGUCCCCAUUCACCUGCUCACUGGCAGCCACCAACCACCACCCAACCCAACUCUAGAAACUUCCUCACUCAGACGCAGCUUGAGGGCCUGGGGGCAUGGCUCCCAGUUAGAAGGCUCCUGCUGAGCUCUGCCCAGCUAGGUGAGCAGUUCCAGGUCCAAGGGGCCUCUGUGCCACCUUCCUGUGUGCCAUCUUCCUGGGUGCCACCUUCCUGGGCGCCACCUUCCUGGGCGCCACCUUCCUGGGUGCCACCUGCAGCAGCCGCGAUAGGAAGGUCCUUUCUCCUGGGCUGGACUGGAGCCUUCUGGAUAGCGGGUUGGUGAUGAUGGAGAACGAGCUUGGGCUGGUGCCUGGUGUCCCUCGUGUCACCCUCAGCCUGUUCCUUAGCUGGGCCCCAGUCGUCAGCUGGGAGACUCCCUGGGACACCUUCAGAGGAGGGAGGCUGGCUGUCGGAACUUCCUGUGCUCUUGGUGGUUUUCUGUACUUUGGUGCAUCUCAAGGCAUCUGAACUCUGUACGAUGGAGCAUCAGUCUCCAUUUAAAAAUCAGUCAUCUUCAAAGCUCAGGUCAAGUUUGAGUCUGGGGCUCAGGAUCGCAUUUACCCACUGCAGCUCUCUUCCCAGGUGGGCUUCCCAGGCGUCAGAGGGCGUAAGCUGCUGAAAUUCACAAAUUCAGGUUGCUCAGGCUCCCUGCAGACAGUACAACAGAGCACCUGGCAGUGACUGUACACUUGGAAAACCUGGUUGUCACCCCUGGGGGUGCCCAGCAGAGCAAGAGGCGGGACAGGCUGAAUCCUGCUUCAUAAGAAAGCUACUUUCCUAUGUGUGUCCCCAAAGUACUUUGGGUUAUUUUUCCCCUUUGCUGUCUUUUUCCAAAUUUCCCUUUUUCACCUUGCCAUUUUCCUUUACAUUUUUUCUCUCAGGUCUUUUUAAUUCCCCUUUGUUGUUAGAUGUUAUUUAUCUUUAAAUAAACUAUCUCAACAAGCUAUUUCAGCAUAUAUUAAGUUUGGGAAAGGGGGAGCCAGUGGUAUGCAGAAGAGGGUAUUUCUAGUUUUCACCGAAUAUUCUAGAGGUUGAGAUUAGCAAUAGGCUAAUGGAACAAAUAUGUGAUGGGAAAUUUAAAUGCUAGAUUCAGUGGAAUUCUGCUUUCCAUGCAGAGACUCAAGCUGAAGGAUUGUUCUAGGACUCCAGAAACAGCUGAACCCAGAAGUGAAACUCGUCACAGAGCAAAGGCAGGCAGUGUGAGCCCUGCCGUACAGAUGAAGAAACCAGGGCUCAGAGAACAUUAACAACUUGCCUCAGUCGACACAGCUGAAAGGUGGAUCAGCCUGGAUUUGAAUUGGCUCUGUCCGGAUCCCACACCAAUGACCUAGCUUCUAUGGCAUCUUAUCCACGAAGUGACAGAACGGUCCUCCUGUCUUACCUGUGCCCCUCACCAUCCCCUUCCCAACGCAGAGGCUGAUCAAAAGGUCCACGUGCUCAUUGCUGAGAAGACAGAGACAUCGGGAGAGGUGCUGUGAGAACAAAAAAAAAUGGUUCUUAAGUGGAUCCUGGUCCCAGUGGGAAAUUAAAAUUAACCUUAGGCAAGAAUUUAAAUCAAUUUUAAAGAGCUACCCAAGAGAAAGAAUUUUCUGGUUGACCUUGACUCUUGAAAAUGCUUCUGAGUACAGCUAUUUCCAUCUCUAAUCUCUGGAUACAGCAGUAACAGCUUCACAUUCUCAAAGGAUGACCAACACCGUAGCUAAACCGAACCCCAGGCAACAAACAAGGAAAUCCACGUCUUUGUUUCAAGUGAUCAAACCUUGGAACAUGAAAUUUUCCUGGAGACGUCACCUUUUAAGGUUGGGUGGAACUUUAGA